GAUCCAUGUGUCUACAUACAUAGAUUCUGUUCAUGGAUUAACGAAAAUGUGCAAGAGCUCUAUUUGCCUCUGCCAUUCUACAACUGGUAA
Molecule: ribosomal RNA, 90 nt
Filed under: Triticum aestivum (bread wheat)
Lineage: Eukaryota; Viridiplantae; Streptophyta; Magnoliopsida; Poales; Poaceae
Description: partial small subunit ribosomal RNA
Source: RNAcentral